Non-coding RNA from Macaca mulatta (Rhesus monkey), 4681 nucleotides. Lineage: Eukaryota; Metazoa; Chordata; Mammalia; Primates; Cercopithecidae. The record is from RefSeq and is a predicted model, not a curated record.
UUUCACAAGUCUGCAUAUAUUCUUGUUUAGUCUUACUUUACUUUUUAAAAAGAUGCAUUCUCUUUCUUUCAAGUUCAAAGGCAUCUUUUGAGAAAAUACUUUGUAUUUUCCUUGAACUUGGCAUGUACACACCUACAUAUAUUUCUUCAAGGAAUCUCUAGCAUAUCCAACUUAGGUUUUGAGUCAUUGUUCUUAUAAGUGAAAACUUGUUCUCAUGGCAGCACCGGGCUCUGAGCUCCCUGAGGCAGGAGUCAUGUCAUGUUUAUGCCCUAGGAAGCUGGCCUAUGGUAGGUAAUCAAUAAUUAUUGAAUAAGAUGCAAAAGAUCAGGUAGUACAGGAGUCCUGAUAGUCCCCAACUCUGACCCCCGAGUCCCUUCAGUUUCUUUCUACUUGACAGUUUGUAACACUGGGCACAAAAGGGAGACAGAGAGAACAAACCACUUCUGCUGUGACCAGGUUACAUGAUCUGCAGGAAUCCAGCCUCCGAUCAGGAACCAUUGCACAAGGGCUAGCAAGUAGUCAAGGACAAAAACCAGGUAACUUCAUCAGUUAAGUAAACAGCGGCUAGCACAAUGGUUGUGCUAAACAGGACAAGCUCAAAGUGCAGUGUCAUGGCCAAAUGUCUGCUUUCAAUGGAAUGGACAUAGGUGCCUCUUCGAGACCUGCCUUGCAGGAAUGAUUACAAUAUUUAUCAAGUAAAUGACAGCUUAUGUACUUUGUCAUGUGCUUUUUUUUUCAAUCUUACAAUAACUCUGUGGUAGAGGUAAUGUUAUUCUCUUUUCAUAGAUAAGGAGACUGAACCAAGCAGUUAAGCAAUUUACUCUUGGUUACAAAGUUAAGUGACAGAAUUGCAGCUCAAACCUAGGUCUGUAUGGCUGACUCCAAAUCCCAUGAACUCAUGGCGUGACAUAUUUUAAAAGAGAAAAAAAAUCUGUGAAAUGUCAGGAUUAUUCUGAUUAAAUUCAGGACUCAAAAAAAAAAAAAAGGUGGGGGAUACUGGCAUCUUCUACGUUAUUAUUUUCUGGAUGAUAAUAAUACAACUGAACAGAAGAUCUGUAAGGUUAAGUAACUUGCCUAGGGCUGCUCAGCUAAUAAGUGGAACCAGCAGGAUUGGGAACUAAAGUCUCUUCGACUCCAUAACCUAUGCACUUCUCACUCUACUGAGGAUCCUGAAUAGCUUUCUUCUCUAGAGUCAACACUCAUCAGUGGGCAGUGGCUGCCUGGAGUUCUGUGCUGAAAUAGAUCAGGAGCCACUGCAGAGCUCCAUGGGAAAGAAGCCUGGGAUAAAUUAGCCAUGCUGCUUGUUCGCCAUCCCUGUGCUAGACUGCUCCCAAAACCCACUGCCCUUUGACCCCUGGGGAUGCAUCAGUACUUAAUUAUCACAAGCCUUGUUAUGCUUCUCAAUAUGCAAGGCACACACAUGAAUACCACAUUCUACUAAGCCUUCUUUAUAUUUGCAUGCUCUAAAGACACCAUAUCUAUUCUAUUAGCAAGCAGCAGGUUUGGACGUUGGUAAUAUUUCUACUUAGGCUCUAAUUCCAAGUAAGGAGACAUCUAAAUGGCUAAAGCAGACAUGGACUACAAUUAUUCUUAGCAUAAUUUCACUUCACUUAAAACCACUUAUUAAAUGGCUCACUAUUUUGUGAAAGUGGGAGUAUACCAGGACAGAAAAAAGGGAACUAGAUUGAAAUUAGAAUUAUCAGGCCCACGUUCCAACUUGACCCCCCCACCGGUUCUACACCUCUGGGCUAAUCACUCAAAGGCAUGGGUUUUGGGGUCAGACCUUAAUUUGAUUUCUGGCCCUGACAUUUACAAGUGCUGCAAUUACCUUAUGCAAUUUUCUGUAUUUCCUAAAACUUCAGUUUUCUCAUAUUUAAUGUGUGAAUAAUAAUGACUUCCUCAUUGGGUUGUUAUGAAAUUUAUGGAGAUGUUGCAUGCUACCUGCUGAGCAUGGUUCUGAUAACAUUGAGGUCCCUAGUAAAUGCAGCUGUCAUCAUUAUUCCUUGUCAUUACAUUUCCUCAUCUAUAAAAGUUGGUUACAAUGCAAACCUCCUGAUCCUUCAUAAAGUUCACUGACAAGUUCAGGCUUUACAACAACAUAAAAUUUCUUUUAUUGUGUAUCUCACCUCAAGGUGUAUCCCAUCUGUUAAGAAAUGGAACCCCCCCAAAAAAAGAAAAAGUAAGAGAUAACGCGUAAUAAACAUUUAUAAAACAAAUGAGGAGUAAUACAUGGAUAUGGGGAAAAUGGAAUAAAUCAAAUAAUUAGGACUGAAAAGUUUAGUUAAAAUGUGGAUUUUGGAGGAAGAAAAAGGCAUGCCUUGCCACAGAGCACAUAAAAUAGGGUCAUAGACUCAUGGAUUGGAAAUUCUGCUCAGGUUUAGAAGAAUUGAUAUUCAGUUCUAACUCUGAUGCUCCCUAACUUUUUAAUUUUUCUCAAGAUUUUUAGAAUUUCUCAUUCUGUAAAAUGGGAAAAAUAAUAACAUUGGCCUUUCUAAGGGCUGAGAGGAUACAAUUAGAUCAUACAUACAAAUAAUUUUUUUUUGCGUUUUGUUUAUGGUAUAAAGGCCAAAGCUAGAACAGGGCAAGUAAGCCACAUAUGGUAUAGCAUUUAAGGAGACACACAAUGAAGGGCUCUGGAGUAUGCCUCUUUUGACUUGCACCCUUGUGUUCUCACUUGCCUUAACCUCAUCCUGGACCUGGGACGAAAAGACAGCAAACAGGUCUCUCCACUGGAGUAACAAUGUUCAUAUAAAUAAAGAGACAUGAGAACAUGUGACAAAUCCAACUAAUAAUGGAUCAUAAAGCACAAGGCAAUGAGUCUGGGGCCAAUGAGACAGUGGAGCUACUGCAGGUUUUGGAGAAGGGGUGUGGCAUGUGUUUUCAUAGUUUGAUCAUAGAAUGCAGCGGUUCAACUGGAUUCUGGAACAUAGGCCAGUUGGAUCUAUGGAAGAGAUGGUUGUGGUGGAGAUUGCCAGGUGUCUCAUGCCAGCCAAAGAAACAUUUGCUAUCUGCCAUCUGUACAAAUUGACUACUAAAAAAGGAAGCAGCAUUUGGAAUAAGCUGGUACUUUCAGCACAGUAACUCUUGAAACACGGAACUUCUUGGAUGUACAUUUUGAGGAAAGUUGAUCUGGAGCCUAUGGAGUGUCAUUGGAGCUGGGUGUUCACAAAGCUAAUGGAAAACAUAUUAAUUUUGUUCUAUGGAGGGUUGGAAAAGAGCUUCUAGGGUCAUGGUGGGUCACAAACCUAGGAAUUCAUUUUGGACUGUAAUGGAAAAGUUUUAUCCGUUACAUCUAAACUUAUCAUUUAAUAAUGGCUGCCAGGAACACUGUCAAAUGAAGGAUUCUGAGCCCUCAGCCAGGCUCCGCAGGUAAGGGCCACCAUUGAUUAGCAAUGUCUGUUACAAGAGCGGCAGAAAUGAGAGGUGGGACGUGUGUCUGAUCUGGUUCAAUUAUUUGAUUUUCCUGUUGUUAAAGCCAAGGCUCUAGGAGGGGAAAAGUUACUCAGAGCAACACAGGUCAAUUAAUAAGUGAAGAAUCAGACUCAAGUUCUCCAACCCACUGUAAUUUGUUCACAAUCCACUUCUCAAUAAACCACAGCACAUUUUUAUCUAUGGCAUUUAUUAAGGAAUGUUUUCCCCUUCUUUCAAAAGCCACAUUCUAACUAAACUUUUUGCUUCUAAUUAUUUCUUUUAUUCCAAAAUUUUUUACAUUCCUGUGUAUCACUCAUUUGUUUUACAAAUAUCUAUUGUGUGUCAUCUCUUACUCGUUACUCAUUUUAAAAUUUUGUAUCUGAGAUUAUCUUUGCUUCACAUUUUAGUCCACAGUGGAAGAUUCUGAUGACAGAGUAAUGCUUUUAUUCAAGAUACUUUAUUCUAGCUGAAACCACAUCUUUUCUGUGCUAGUCUAUCAGAAAUGCAGCAUAAUGGGAGUCUUUGCUGAAUAUGAAGCAGAUUCCUAGAAAACAAGUGGGCAUUGAUUUAUUUUUAUUGAUGUGCUUUUACUAACUGAUAGGAAGUGUUCUUUGAACACCUCUCUUCCUACCAUUCCACUCCAAUAAGCCACUGAGUUUGAUCAUUUCCAACACAUGGUCCAUGCCGCUGUCUAGAGGGUUGAGAGCCUCUCCAGCCACAGUGCUAAGUGGGCCAACAGCCACCCAGGUCUCCUCAAUUCAGAUGUGGCCUUUUCCUGAUGUGGGACUUACAUCCUGACCUGAUAUAACCUUUCAGUUUGGGACUAUGAGCUGGGAUAUGGAUACCUUGGACAACUCUUGGUCUUCAAAAAAAGAGAAAACUAACUAGGAGUAAACCUUCAGAUGAACUAUGCAUAUAUCCAGUGUACAAGAGAAAGUAGGUUUUUGAGGUGGGAAAGAAAGGUUAUAAAAUAAAGGGAGAAAAAUCAACUCUUUUUUCUCUUUGAGUCCAGAUGUUUUUGAUGUCAUUGAGCAUCAGGCAUUGUCUAGAGUCUCCAAAUUUUAUGUCACGUUCUCUGUGGAAAUUGCAGCACACAGGCACACGAUGUUUUGAAGGUGAGUGGGAAAAGGUGCUGGGACAUUGCUGUUGGGAGCAGAGUACCUCCUUUGGGCUAGAAAGAGCCCACUGGGCCUUUUUAGUCUCAAUUUACCAUGUAAAUAUUGGAGAACUGUGAUGUUAAGUUCUAAUAAAACUCUGGGAAAAAGUUGUA